ACCAAAAAAGAAAAAAGAAAAAAUGUCGCUCGCUUAGGCUUAGGGUUGCUCCCUUCCCUGGCCGCCGCCACCAGCCCAAUCUCCGGCCGCCGCCUUCUCCGGUGCAUGGACCGGAAUCGUCCCCCAGCCCACCACCAGCUCUCUCCUCAUCGUGAGCCCUCCCCCAGCACCCCCGCAGAGAUCAUCCAGCCACCGACAUGCCGGAGUCCCUGCCGGCCGCCACCGACACCGAGCUCCUCAAGGCCCCCGACGCCGACGAGGCCGACCUUGUUCCACUGCCGACGAGAACCGCAACCUCCCUCCCUCCCUACUCACUCCAGCCACCGCGGGGCCCCCCCUUCCCAUCUCAUUCUGCACUCUGCAGCCACCUCUUCUCCUCAAAGCCUGCCCUCUCUCCCAGUCCCACUCAUUUUCGUUGAUUCAAUCUCCUCCACAAUCGGAGUAGUAGUACAUGGAGAAAUGACUAAGCUUCUCCAUCGUAGAACCCAAGCCCCACCUCCCAUUGUUAAUUUUUUGCUACUCAACUUGUGGAUACUGACUUCAGUUUCCAGUUAAGACUUGGUACUUGUUUGCUUCAGUUCAAAAGUUCAAAUUCAUAUCGUGCUUUAACAUUUGUUGUUGGGACUUGGAUAUUCUUAUAAAGCAGUACUACAAAUACUUUAUGACAUGACCAAGUUUGUUGGAUGCUCUGCAUUUUUUUAAUCUUGAUUUUGCCUACUCCGGACAGGGUGCCUGUUGCUGCGUUGCACACCUUUUUCACAACCAGUCUCUUCAUAUCAUAUUUAUGUCUUCCCAUCACUUUUGUAUCUCCAGCUUGACCACCAAGUUCAACAUUUGCCAGGUCCUUCUGUACAAGAUAUCACCACUUCUGAUUCAUAUGAGUGAAUCCUUAUUUAUUUUUCAUGGUUUUGACUAUAUAUGAGUGAAUUGGAGCAAGUUUGGUUUUGUUACUCGUUUUCCUUUUCUUAUAGUACAAUAAAAUAGGGGGGAUAGCUAAUGUUAUGUCUGAAGAAUACACAAAUUGCACUAACAACUUGGGGAGGUUCAAACUACAGAGCGAUAAUAGCAAGGGUUAGUUCCUCACUCCCCUGAUUCGUAGUGGCAUAUGUGGAUGAUUUGUCUAAGAGGAUCAAAUGCUGGGAAGGAUGAUCUUCUUCUUCAGUAAAGAUUAUUUUGUGUCAACUUUGCAUUUUUAGCUAUCUAAAUACAACCAUCAAUGACUAACAUGUUUUAUGGAGGUCUGUUUGGCUCUUAGCAGGCCUGUAGACACGAUGUUUACCAAGAUGACUUUGAAAACACCUGGCGGAGGAUAGGUUGGUCUGGCCAACGACGGCCUGGCAAUAUGAUUGGCCGUCCAGGUCCAUGAGGCAGCAGCUCUAAGGCAAAUGAAGGCUUUAGUUAAUUUUCUGUGAUAUUUAUGCCCCUGUUGGGCAAUAUUUAUGCCAUCGUUAUAACGCAUGGGCAACAUUUAUGGCCCCGUUGAAGGUACAUGGGCGAUAUUUAUGCCCCGCAAAAAAAAAGAAGGUA
This is a long non-coding RNA of Triticum aestivum (bread wheat), 1527 nucleotides long. RefSeq lists it as uncharacterized. The transcript has 2 exons. Lineage: Eukaryota; Viridiplantae; Streptophyta; Magnoliopsida; Poales; Poaceae. The record is from RefSeq and is a predicted model, not a curated record.